AACUGUGGCAUCCCAUGGUUGACUCACAUGUACAAGGCAAACAUUGGCUCCAUCAGGAAAAGAUACGGGGGCAUCUGGCUGUAGAAAGAACCAGAGGUUUUGUCUGCCAGAGGUCAGCAAAUGAGUGGGUGGUGCUUAACAGUCAAUGGGUAAUCCUGACUCAGGAGGGAAGCGCAACAGAGUUAGUAGGUAAAAUAAGGAGCCAAGUAGUUGGGGUUAUCAAUUUGCCCUUGGCCAGCAAUUUUAUCCUAAGUCAGAUAUUAAAUGUUUAAAUAGCCAUACGUUUCUUUGAGACCAAUGCAUAUUGAUAAGCACAUAUGCAUCAGGCUAUUUUAGUCACUGAAGCUUUUUCAGAAUUGCCAGUGAAGAUCUUUGUUAAAAGCUGGUGUUAUAUUAUCUACCUUUCAGUAGUCAGGUACCAAGGCUGAAUUGAGCGGUUGUGUUACCAUGGUUAUUUCACGACUGUGUUGCUCCAGAACACUUAGAGCUGAUUCAGAUGCUGAGGAAAGGCACGUAAUGCUGUUCUCAUGGGACUGUACCAUCUCGGAAUGCACAUGGAGAUCACAUGUUUGCAAUCAACGUGCCCUCACAUUAACAAUCUCCCUACAAAUGUAAAGCAAUUGUACCAGUUUUGUCUGUAAACAAAGAGACUUGGCAUCAGGGCUCUGUUAAGAUGCUUGAAUCCAGUCUUAGAGCACAUAUGCAUUGCAGUUUUGAGAGGGGUCAGAUGAACUUUCAGGCCAUCUACACAUUGCUGUUUACUAUGGCUCCACUGCACUCCCACUGCUGGUGUGUGAAGCCAUGUGUGCAUGACGUUAGCCACAACCCAUAUCUAUCCUGUAAUUUCUUCAGAAAUACUGCUUUUUGAUAUGCUUUCCCUCAAACCAGCUUCCAUCUAAUUUGAAAACAUAAGCCAUGUUUGCUUUCCAGUUAAGAUGAGGUGUCUACAUUUGAUAUAGACUUUGCACAUGGGCAGAUGAGAACUUCAUGAACAGGAGGGGGUGGGGCUGCAGUUGUGGGGAAACCAAACUGGCAAUACGCACCACCCUGUUCCCUCUCUGGUGUGUACUGCAAUGUACAAAUGUGACUUGAAAUGAAGUAGGGGAAACCGAUCUUGUUUGUUUUUUAGGUUACUAAUGUGUCCACAGCUCAAUUGUGCAUAGUAUUCCUGCAAUGAAGGGGUGGAGACCCUUGGACCCUUUAGGUGAUGCUGGACUACCACUCCCAUAAUCCCCAACAACUGGUCAUGCUGGCUGGGAUAGAUGUCUGUUGGUAGUCAGUGGGUCACCAUGUGACUUCAACCCAAUGCAGUCCUUCACCUGGCAUGGCUGCUUGCAGAUAUUUUAUACAAAUUCUAAAAACCACAUAACGAAUCCCUGUCUUGGGUAUUUAAAAGCAAAAGAGCCAAUGAGCUUCCUUAGAGGUUCUCCAGGUUAGCUAAAGUUCAUAAUGCUUUAUUGCCUUGGGAUGGGGGCAUAGAAAGGAAGCUCUUUAUAUGUACAGACAUUCUAUUUCCCCCUCCUGUGGAAAUUAUGCAUACUAAUGCAAACUCCCACAAGAGGGUGGGGGUGGGGGACACACACCAGGUUUUCUGUGGUACAAGCCGCUGAUGCAGAAGAUUAGCACUUAGUCAGUUCCUCCUCCCUUCCACUUGAACUCUUGCCAAAAGCACGAUAGGAGGCAUAAUAGUUGGGGAAGAAUUAGAGUGGACGGAAUGCUUCUUCUCCUGUUUUUAGAACUCUGGGUUUGGGUGUGCAGUUCCAGGAAGGGGGGUUGUGGACAAAAAGUCAUAUCCAUUUCCUCUUAUCAGCUAUAGCUGGGAGGACCACUGGAUGUUGGGUGUUUAUGGCUCAUUCUCAGGCUUAAGACCUCUGCCCCAGUAUUGGAAAACCCAAGAGGAGGAAUGGGAUUGAAUGAGGCCCAUCGCUUGCACACAGCUUUGAAGAAAGAGGAUCAAGAAGCCAAAGUCAAAUGCAGGGGUCGGCAAAGUUUUUGUGGCUUGGGCCUGUUCACGGUCCCGCAGAUGCUGCGGUGGGCCAGAGUGUGUGUGUGUGCGUGCACGCACGCAUGCAUGUACGCACGCACAAACACUAUUUCCGGUGCUCCUUCCGGUGCAGAGGAGGCAUGCGCAGCUUCCCAUUGGCUGCAGGAGCUUCCCGCAGCCAAUGGGAAGCUGGCCAGCAUUGCGGAAGGCGGUCCCCGCUCUGCUCCACGCUGCUUUAGCGCGGCUCACGGGAGUCGACCAAGCAGGCGGCAGGGGUCCCCAAGUGGGUGGCGGGGGUUCAUGGGCCCGUUAAACAACCCCCAUGGGCUGCUUGUGGUCCAUGGGCCUUAGGUUGCCAACCCCUAGUCAAAUGCAUUCCUCCCUCCACCCACAUCACAGUACAGUGUGGUGGGGAUGUUGGUUCUUGUUUCAUGGCUAUCAGCAGUGCUUUCCCCAAAUAAAUAGGAAGCACCAGCUAAGCUGGUCAUAAAACCUCUAUAGAUGGGAAAGCAGGUCUAAACAGGCAAAUUCUGAAAUUGCAUAUUGUCUGGGCAGCGGUUCAUAAGAGCACGGCUGAGUACUCACCUUUAAAGCACAUGGCUUCCCCCAAAUAUUCCUGGGAACUGCAGUUUGUCAAGGCUGCUGAGAAUUGUAGCUCUGUGAGGGGUAAACUACAUUGCCCAGGAUUCUUUGGGGGGAAGCCCUGUGCUUUAAAUAUAUCGUGUGUAUGCAACCCAUGUCUCUAUUUUAAAAAAGGAAUAAUAGGAAACUUGUUUCAUUACUGAGGAUCCCUACUAGGAACUUAAUCCGUCCAAAAACAAAAACCUAGUUCCCAUGGUUCUCUUUGGGGAAGUUCUGACAGUUAAGCCAAUUUCAAACUGGUUUGAAUUGUCUAAGCCUUUUCAGAGAGUAUUGAUUGAGAGUUUGAGAGCGCAUUGAAGAAUGGUUAUAGCCAGAGAUGCACAUUCUAUUUUCCACCACUGCCACCCCCUGUCCUGUCCUGCAGUGGUCUCUCAACAAGCUGGUUUUGCAGGUUUCUUCAGACCUGCACUUCAAACGUUACCCAGGAAGAACAAAAAGUAGCUUCCAGCAAUAUGACUGCAGUUGUUGCAACAGACCUGUGUACCUUUUAAGGUGGCUGUUGGAGCCUCCCCCAUGCUAGUGACGCAGUCAGUGCCAGAUUUACGUAUAAGCUAAACAAGCUAUAGUUUAGGGCCCCACUCUCUUGAGGUAAAGGUAAAGGGACCCCUGACUGUUAAGUCCAGUCGCAGACAACUGGGGUUGCAGCGCUCAUCUCACUUUACUGGCCGAGGGAGCCGACUUUUGUCCCCAGACAGUUUUUCCGGGUCAUGUGGCCAGCAUGACUAAGCCACUUCUGGCGAAACCAGAGCAGUGCAUGGAAACAUCGUUUACCUUCCCGCUGGAUCGGUACCUAUUUAUCUACUUGCACUUGAUGUGCUUUCGAACUGCUAGGUUGGCAGGAGCAGGGACUGAGCAAUGGGAGCUCACCCCAUUGUGGGGAUUCAAACCGCCGACCUUCUGAUCGGCAAGCCCUAGGCUAUGUGGUUUAAACCACAGCGCCACCCGCAUCCCAUCCACUCUCUUGGGGGCCCCCC
Molecule: long non-coding RNA, 3600 nt
Filed under: Podarcis lilfordi (Lilford's wall lizard)
Lineage: Eukaryota; Metazoa; Chordata; Lepidosauria; Squamata; Lacertidae
Source: RNAcentral